This is a non-coding RNA of Macaca mulatta (Rhesus monkey), 5586 nucleotides long. The record is from RefSeq and is a predicted model, not a curated record. NCBI's taxonomy places the organism in Eukaryota, Metazoa, Chordata, Mammalia, Primates, Cercopithecidae.
AGCAGUUUUUCUUCUUUUAUUGCUUAAACCUCUAAACAGGCUUGACAUUUUUUUUUCUUUCCUCCUUCCCUCCCUUACAGAUUCUAGUAAAGAAGUACUUGUAUGAAGAAGAUAUAAGCAAUGCCAGCAUCUAUAUAGUGUUCUUACUGAUUUGACGAUGUCCUUAGGUUGUCUUUGAACUUGAAAAUCUCUAUACAUUAUUAUUGCAGGACCUAUAAACUAUGAUUGUUUUGUAGUUCUCUUGCACUAUCUUUACAAUGUUCUUUAAAGAACAAAGUUUCACUGGUUACUUUAUAUAUUUCAAAUGAACUAGGAGUGAUUUAAAACUUACAUAGUUGCUGUUCAGAAAAUGUCAAAAAAGAAGAGCUUGUAUAAGUUACAAUGUAGAUAAAUUUAAUUCUAUUGAGGGGAUAAUAUCCUUUUAAGAUACAGUGUAGAUAAAUUUAAUUCUAUUGAGGGGGUGAUAUCCUUUAAACCAAACUUGUCUAAAGUUUUCACCAAAUGUUAAACUGAGUAAUGUUUCGUUUUUAUCCAUUUAAUUUUUUUAUAUUGGAGGAAUCUUAAAGGAAAAUUGCAUUAUCUUUUUCCAGUUUUAUUAAAUCAUAUAGUAAAUGUGAACUGAAAAUUUAAACAGUAGAGGAAGAUACAGAAUAAGAGUUGAAGAUUUUUUAUAUCCCUAGGUAUAAAUUUUAAGUGUAUGUAAUCCUAUGCCUUUUUCUGUGCACUUUCACACAUAUACAGAUGUAUCUAUGUAAUUUUGUUUUGCAUAAAUGAGAUCAUUGUAAAAAUAUUGUUUGAAACUUUCUUUUUAAAUUAAUAGUCCAUCAUAGAUUCUUUUCAUGUUAAUACACAUAUAGUUAUCUUACUCCUUAAAUGGCUGUGAGUCUUCUCUUGUCAGGUAUCAGGACUUAAUUGCUUUCCAGUUUAUGGAAAUUUUGGUUGUGUCCAAAGUUCUGCUGUUAGAAACAAUACUGAAGUGGACUCUUUUAUAUUGUUUCUGUAUUGUGGUAAGAUGUAUUCCAGAGGUAAAACUGCUAGACUAAAGGUAUGGGAAUUUGUUUCUGUAACUGACAUUUUAUUGUGUGCGUCAGCACCAUAUUUUAAAAACUAGUGAUUUUGUAGUGGUGUAGGAUCUGCUAGGUCAAACAUCAACUUUCAAGCCAUGUUCGUAUCUGUUCUUUUUGGAUAUCCCUCUCUGUUGACUACUUUAUCCAUAAAAGGGCCAGAUCAUAUAUCACCUCUUUCCUGAAGGUGUUUGUAACACCUAGCACAUUGAAUAAUUUUAACCCUAAUAAUAGUUUAGUGAGUGCUUACUAUGUGCCAGCCACAAUUCUAAUUGGUUUAUGUGUAUUACACUGCUGCAUAUCAUUUAAUCUUCCCAAUUCUAAGAGGUACAUAGUAUCUACAUUUUAUAGUUGAAAAAAUCAAGGCAAAGAAUAAGUAACUUGUUCAAGGUCACAGUAAAUGACGGAAAUGGAAUAUCAGCAUGGGUAGUCUCAUAUGAAAGUCUGCUUUCUUAACUCAUACUGUACUACUUCCUUACUAUCCUUUUAUGGCCUCCCUAUGCUCAAGAAAUAUGUUUUGUAUGCAUUGUAGAGUUCACUAGCCAUUUCAUCUUGCUUCUAGGUCCUCUUUACAGAUCUGCAUGAAUACCAUCUUACUCAAAUUUGUGUAUGGUGACCUAUCCCCAAGUAGAAUAACCAGAGAGAAAUGAUGGAGUAAGGAGGGUUGUGGAAGACCUCCUUACUCCAAAACACUUUACCUGAAUGUAGCUAGUUAAUACUGCUCUGUUUUAUUUCAUCUUGUUUCCCUAAACCCUGUCUUGGGGAAAUUCAUGGAUUGAUCUUGGGAUGGAUUUCAUAGGUGGAAUAAAUGGGUAUGUUACUCUUCACUAUUUUUGAAACAUCAAAUCAAAAUACAUACCUUGUAGAUGACCUCUUACAGUAAGUGCUCAAAAUGUGAGGUGGGAAGAAUGCUGUUUUAGACCCUCCUACACCUCUUAAUUCAUGCUGUUGAGUGUGACAUGUAAAAACUAAAUAUCUCAGUCUCCCAUAACAGGGGCCUGGUAAUACUUUCUUUUGAGGGAGGUUAGGUGACCUAAUGUUUGUGAAAAUGUUUGUGACCUAUAAGGAUUUUCAUAAAUUAAUUGUUAAAACUGAAGUAUGAAUAAAAAUAGCCUUAUGAAAAUUCUGACUACUAAGAGGGUUGGCUAUUUGUUUUUUAUUUAGGAAAAUCUCUUAUUUUAAAUUUCUAAUUCUAUUAAAUUUAGUUAUCUAAUUGAAUUUAUAGAUUGCUAGUAAAUAUUUUCUGUUCCAAUUGUGCAUUUUGGUUAAUUGUUUUAGGUGGAGCUGAUAGUAGAUAAGGGGUUGGGAUUCUGUAAUAAAGAGUUCACAUAAUAGUUGUUUGGAUUAGAGGCCAUUUUUCAGAUUAUAUUCUGAAUUUAUUAACUUUUUAGAAUUUAUAUAGAAUAUGUUCUUAAAUUCCUUGAGAACUUAAAAAUUGGUAUUACUUUAUCAUACUGUUAAUAAAGAGGGAGAGAUAAGGGUUAUGGGAAAUGCACAUCCUUUUCUGACUCUUAGGUCCUUUUCUGGGAAUGUGAAAGCAAACCAUAUGCCUAUGGUGUCUCUGGUGUAGGCUUAGCAGAUAAUACUAGGGUUCUAGAUAAAAUGAAAAGUAUGAAGGCAAAGAUUUGAUCAUGCUGUUUUCUAAAUCUCAGGACCUUUAGAAUGUAUCUCUUAACUCACUUUAUGGACGCCUUUCACUUGUGCCUUUUCUUCCUUUUCUUACUCUACAUCCAGAUUCCCACCUCACAGUCCAAGAUCCUCUCUACCACUCAGUCCAGCUUUCUCGCUGCAACCCAAACUUCAGUACCUGGCUUCUCUUGGCCAGAUCGAAGUACUAUAAUAUGAUUUAAGUUGUGAAUGUGCCUUAGUAUGUGAGAUGUUUUUUCAUAUGAGGAGGUCCUUAACCUACUUUAGCUUAAUCACCAGAUCCUUUUGUCUUUUAUGCUAACACAUAAAAAACUCUACAGGCUUGGUAUUGCAGCUUUUUGUCUUCUCUGCAUGAGCAGUUUUGUUUUGUAUCCUAGGGAUCCCAGAAGAACAGCUUUGCUUGGCCAGGGUACCCAUUCAUUGGCUUAGGCAACCUAGAAUGUUAAGAUUCAUAUAUCUUAAUUACAUACUAAGGUCUUCCUGACCUCACUACCAUAAGCAGAAGUUUUUCUGAAAACCUUGAUCAGAGAGCAAGUAGGAAGAAGGGCCAGAUUCCAAUUUCAUUAAACCACAGGCAUAUGAAUACUUAACAAUUUCUGUGCUUCAAGAAAGUUACAUUUAAUUCUGAAAUAACCCAAUGCCUUUGUAUUUCUUUUCUUACACUAUUUCUCCUGGAAAAAGCAUGGUAUGGAAAGAGUUUGAAAUCAAGUUGGGCAAGUUACUUUUGAAUCCUGCUUUAAUACUCUGUGAUUUGGGGACAGUUACUACUUAACCUUGUUGUCUUCAUCUACCUUAGGGAUAAUGAUUUAUUUUUAACAGAGUUUUUCUAAAGAAUGGAGGUAAUCUACAUUAUUUAGCACACUAUACUACCUUCUGUGUUGGAGGUAAUUUAUUACUUAUUUUGACAUUUUACUGGAUUCUGGAUUUAGUUCUUAUGUAAUAUUUUGAAAUGAAGUUGUCAUUUUUUUUUUUUUUCCCUAGUCAGGAUCAAUUUUCUUUACUUUUUUAGGUCAUGGACUUUAGUUAGAUUGUAAUGAAAAAUGUAGACCUAUUCUUCUCCAACAUUUACUUAAAUACAUCAUACAACAUUUUGCCAAUUGAGGGGUAUAGAGUUUUUGAGGGGUAGGUAUGUGAGGUGUGAACCAUGCAAUAUGAACCUUAGCUCAAGAGUACUGGAUUUCAAGCUGGGUGCAGUGACUCACACCUGUAAUGACAGCCCUUUGGGAGGCCACGACAGAAGGAUUGCUUGAGGCUGGGAGUUUGAGACUAGCCUCGUCAACAUAGCAAUAACCCAUCUCUACAAAAAUUUAAAAAUUCGGUGGGUGUGGUGGCAUGUACUAGUAGUCCUAGCUACUUUGGAGGCUGAGGCAGGAGGAUUGCUUAAGCCCAGGAAUUUAAGGUUACAGUGGCAAUGAUGGAACCACUGCACUCCAGUCUAGGUGACAGAGUGAAACCCUGUCUGAAAAAGGAGUACUGGAUUUUGUUUUUUAUCCAUUGAGGAGUUAUUGACUAGCCUUUUCCUCUACUCUUUCCCCAGUAAUCGCAACAGUAACUACAGAAUUUUUCUUUGAGAGGUUUCUGUCAUAUAUAAGAGAAUUUUAAAAAAUAAUAAUUUGCUAGAAAAUUUUAAAUUAUAGUUGGGUAUGGUGGCUCACGCCUGUAAUCCCAGUACUUUGGGAGGCUGAGGCAAGAGGAUUGCUUGAGCUCGGGAGUUCGAAACCAGCCUGGGAAACAUGGUGAGACCCUGUGUCUAUUAAAACAGAAAAAAGAAAAGAAAAAAUUUUAAAUCAUUACCAACCUUCCCGUCUUCCUUCUUUUUCUUUCUGAAACUUUUGGAAUCCUGACUUAGAAAAAAACUAGUAAAGAGAUAAUAAGAUAUACUAAAUAAAGUUAUUAGCUAUUUCCUUAUUGUAUGUUUAACAAAUUUUAAAGGUAUAACUCGAUUUAUUCAGGCUUAUUUUAUAGUUAUUGACUGAAAUGAAAAAAAAAGGUGGAUUUAGUACAUUCCUUUAAUUUAUUUUCUUCUCAGUGUCCCACUGAUAUUGUUUAAAGAUUGAAUUAAGUCAUAAUUCUGAAAAGUGGGAACAGAUGUUAUUAUAUUAGUCAAACUACCCUUAAGAGGCACAAAAGGACUUCAUCAGCUCUAUAACUUUAAUGUGUACUUGGGUGUAUGUGGGGAGGGAGGCAAGAAACUGCAACUUAGGUGCAUAGAUGAAUCUAAACUUGAGUAGUGUUAGUAGUAUGACUGCAACCCUGUUACUGUCUCAACAUUUUUGGUCUGCGUUUCUUUCUGUAUCAGCUUUAUUUUCAGCCAAAGAUGACUGUCAGUCAAAGGAGAUGGGAAUGGGAUAUACUAGCUAGACCUAGGUAAUGUGGCCACUCCUGUGGUGGCUGGGAAGGCUUACCUCUACCCAAAGCACAUGAAUACAUUCCCCAUAAAAAAGAGGGAUGAUGUUAUUAGCAAAAGGGGUUAGGGAGAAAACAUGUUGAACAGUAAAAUUACAGUUCACAGUCCACUACAGGUACCAUCAGAGGACCAAGAAAUUUUGAAGAAGAUAGAAAGUUCAUGGAAUCGGAUUGACAGCAAAAUCCCAGAGGAAACUGGAACCCAAGAUAACAGAGACAGGGAUAAUCAGACAAUUGAGGAGAAUCAAGAGGAUGAAAGAAGAUUAAGAUGAAUAAAAGAACAACCAACCUCAGCUGUAAUUCAGAAGAAUACUUCAAAGAAAAGUGUAAUUGGUAUUUUAUUUAAAAUUUAAGAAUACGUAAUGUUUAGUUAUAGCUGCAUUAAAAAGGGGGCAUAGAACUAGAAAAGGUUUUGAAAAUUAUAAAGAAAAAUUUUAAUUGAUGAGAUAAAUAAAAUUUUAGCAUGAAU